UGGUGCUGAUGGGACUUGAGAGGUCAGGAAGAGACUCUUCUUCCCCCAUAGACAAAUCGAUAUGUUUGUGUAUUUUCUUAGUUGAACAAUUUUUGACCGCUUGAAUUUGCUACCGAAACAAUCAACUUGAGGGAAUACACACAAGAAAAGGAAAAAAAAAAGUAAAAAGGGGAGAUAUCACUUCAUUCAACAGCAUUGUAUGGCCUAAUGAUGUAAAACAUAACAUGUUCUAAGUUCCUGCUCAGACAAUUGUGCUCUUUCAGAAACAGCGAACUGCACAGGGAGACCACUUGAUGCUAGAGGGCUUAAUUCUCUAAUUGUUUAUCAUUUCUUUUCAUUAGUUAAUAAUUUUGAUUCAGUUAAAACUAUUGUACCAUGAUAUGUUUUGACUUUGUUAAAUUACAACUUUAAGCUUUUAACGUCAAUUUGAUUUAAAUUUUCCGUCUAA
This is an RNA transcript of Cucumis melo (muskmelon), 448 nucleotides long. RefSeq lists it as uncharacterized. The record is from RefSeq and is a predicted model, not a curated record. Lineage: Eukaryota; Viridiplantae; Streptophyta; Magnoliopsida; Cucurbitales; Cucurbitaceae. The transcript is spliced from 2 exons.